RNAcentral lists this transfer RNA (72 nucleotides) under Camelus bactrianus (Bactrian camel). It matches the Rfam family "tRNA". Rfam says of the family: Transfer RNA (tRNA) molecules are approximately 80 nucleotides in length. Their secondary structure includes four short double-helical elements and three loops (D, anti-codon, and T loops). Further hydrogen bonds mediate the characteristic L-shaped molecular structure. tRNAs have two regions of fundamental functional importance: the anti-codon, which is responsible for specific mRNA codon recognition, and the 3' end, to which the tRNAs corresponding amino acid is attached (by aminoacyl-tRNA synthetases). tRNAs cope with the degeneracy of the genetic code in two manners: having more than one tRNA (with a specific anti-codon) for a particular amino acid; and 'wobble' base-pairing, i.e. permitting non-standard base-pairing at the 3rd anti-codon position. RNAcentral also lists the same sequence under 3 other names. Lineage: Eukaryota; Metazoa; Chordata; Mammalia; Artiodactyla; Camelidae. The record is from Rfam by way of RNAcentral.
GAGGGCACAGCUCAGUGCUAGAGUGUGUGCUUAGCAUGCACGAGGUCCUGGGUUCAAUCCCCAGUACCUCCA